UCAGCUAUAGGGAUAGAAUGCUCCAUUUCAUAAAAAUCAGCCACAUUAUUAUGUAUUUUCUAGAACUCCAUGCUGUGUACUCCCAAAUGACUCCAUGAGAUAAUUGCAAGGUUACCAUUAAGAGAGGAGUCACUAAGGAUGAGAAAGCAAGGAAUCAAGGUCAGCUUGAAAACACCUUUUAAGAAAGAACUUUAUCUGUAUACUGAAACCUGGAACUUAGUUGAAGCAAACAGAAUAAAGGUCUCCAAUGUAAGAGGUAAAUUGCUAAGAAACUAUGAACCUGGAUUUAAAAAUUUGACCAUUUUUGACCAUUGAGACCUAAAACAAAUUUCAGGCCAGCAUAUUUGCACCAGCAGGAAGCUGGUUAAAGGAGAUGGGCAAUUCCCAAAGACUGCAUGCUCCCCAGGACCAACUUUACAUAUGGUGGAUAAUGGAAAAGGGAGGCCCUCCAAGUGGAAAGAGUCAGAAGCUACAGAGAAUGACUGACGAGUUCUUACCAGAAAGCAGAAUCUGUGACUAAUAAAACAACUUGAUCUGCGGUCUUCAUAAUGCUCUCCCACCAAGAUUUCAUAAUUGCUAUGGAUGAUGACUGCUGUGUGUUUUUGUUUCCCAUUUUCCAAAGAAGGGUUUUAGCUUGCCGCUACUCUGUUCUUGGGACACCAUUGUAUAUUGGGUAAGCAUAAGUGGGUGGGUGGUAAAUUUCCUUUUUAGUUCAUGGGAUGGCUAGACUGCAAGGAGGCCCAGUGGAGAGUACCACCAAUGAUCCUGAGCUUUGAGCUGGAUGUAGCAACAAGGUACAUACUCAUCUACUCCCUUGAAGUUAAAUGGAGUCAUGAGACUCAGUUUAGGCCGAUGAAAUAUGGCUGGAAUUGAUGUACUUCCAGAUUAGGCCCUCCAAAAUCUCCCUUGAGAUCAGCCCCACUACAGAGGACCCAAUAGAGAGGGCUGUGAGGCCUCAGGAAUGGCAGAGCCACUAGAUGGAAGGAAUAACUCAUGUGGGGCAGAACCGUGACAUGAAUUGGUAUAUGAAAUGAACAGAAAAUAAGGCCUCAUUUAAGUUAAAUAACCCAGGAAAUCAACCUUUCUUCUGUUGAGAUUUUGGAAUCACUUGUUAUGACAAUCAGCCUCGACCAAAGCAGUAAUCAAAGCUAUAUGCAAUGAAACAUGCAGGCUAUGUGUUGGUGUAACCUAUUAAUUACCCUCUAAUUUUCUUUCACAAGAUGACUGUAGGGGACUUCUGUGGCUAAAAUUUAUUUCUGAUUGAGACUGAUUUUUUCCUAUGUCUUAUGGGGUUCUUGUCCCCUGAAGUCAGUUAGUCUCCAGGUAUCAUUGAAUGACUAAUCCCAGAUCUACUACUUACUAGGUGUGUGAUCUUGGACAUGUACUAAUGUGUUUGAGCCUCAGUUUCCUUAUC
Lutra lutra (Eurasian river otter) is the source of this 1414-nucleotide long non-coding RNA. RefSeq lists it as uncharacterized. Lineage: Eukaryota; Metazoa; Chordata; Mammalia; Carnivora; Mustelidae. The transcript has 3 exons. The record is from RefSeq and is a predicted model, not a curated record.